UGGGGAAUUUUGCGCAAUGGGGGAAACCCUGACGCAGCAACGCCGCGUGAGUGAUGAAGGCCUUCGGGUCGUAAAGCUCUGUCAGAGGGGAAGAAGUGUGAGGUGGCUAAUAUCCAUUUCACUUGACGGUACCUUCAAAGGAAGCACCGGCUAACUCCGUGCCAGCAGCCGCGGUAAUACGGAGGGUGCGAGCGUUAUCCGGAUUCAUUGGGUUUAAAGGGUGCGUAGGCGGGGCGGUAAGUCAGUGGUGAAAGCCUGCAGCUUAACUGUAGAAUUGCCAUUGAUACUGUCGCUCUUGAAUGCGGUUGAGGCAGGCGGAAUGUGUAAUGUAGCGGUGAAAUGCUUAGAUAUUACACAGAACACCGAUUGCGUAGGCAGCUUGCUAAACCGUGAUUGACGCUG
Molecule: ribosomal RNA, 402 nt
Filed under: uncultured bacterium
Lineage: Bacteria
Description: bacterial SSU rRNA
Rfam family: Bacterial small subunit ribosomal RNA
Source: RNAcentral